AGGGAGAAAAAUCAACUGUCAACCGGCUUGUCAGUAUGAGCAGUUAGAAGUGACAUGAUUGGAAGCAUUAAGAACCAGGAACACAGGACAAUUUUCUGAGGGACGUGCAUCGAAUACAUUACCUAGAACACAAACUGAAUCGGAUGCUGUAGCCCACCACCGUGAACUGAAGCUUCAUGAAGAGAGACUCAUGUGACCCUCGUGUGGAAGCGAAUGGAACAAAGACCAACUUUUCCAUUUGGACCCCUGGUUUCUCUCGAAUGCAGUUGUCCCAUCCUCAGCCUUUGAAUGAAAUGACUGUGCUGGUGGUCCCACGCCCAGGGGAAACAUCCUGUCCCCUAGAGGACCCUCAGUCUGUUGGAAAGUGUAAUGAGUAAGACUCAGUGAGCAGCAGAGGCUGAGAAAGUUGGGGGCCAAGGAGCAGGUCAGAGUUUCCCCACUUCUGCUUUUAACUCUCCUCCACUCAAAAUAGAAACUAUUUCCACCUUACUCCCUGUCCCCAACCUCAGCUUCAAGGUGGUCUACCACAAACACUCUGAGUGACAGUAGGGGAGUCACCAACUCUCCUGUGAGUCUGCACACCAAGCUGAGGAAACGGAAGCCUAGAAAGGCCAAAGAAAGUACUGUGUUGACCUUUUACAAUUAUUAAUUAAUUAAAUACAUAUGGGUGUUUUA
Molecule: long non-coding RNA, 675 nt
Filed under: Rattus norvegicus (Norway rat)
Lineage: Eukaryota; Metazoa; Chordata; Mammalia; Rodentia; Muridae
Description: long non-coding RNA NONRATT008903
Source: RNAcentral